GGGACCCGCACAAGCAGCGGAGCGUGUGGUUUAAUUCGAUGCUACCGAAGAACCUUACCAGGGUUUGACAUGCAAGUGGUAGGAAACUGAAAGGGGACCGACCCUUCGGGGAGCUUGCACAGGUGCUGCAUGGCUGUCGUCAGCUCGUGUCGUUGAGAUGUUCGGUUAAGUCCGCUAACGAGCGCAACCCUCGCUGUGUGUUACAAGUGUCACACGGAACUGCCGGUCAUAAACCGGAGGAAGGUGGGAUGACGUCAAGUCAGCAUGGCCUUUAUAUCCUGGGCUACACACACGCUACAAUGGGAAGGGACAAUAGGUUGCGAAGCCGCGAGGCGGAGCCAAUCCAGCAAAACUUCCCUCAGUUCAGAUUGCAGGCUGCAACUCGCCUGCAUGAAGUUGGAGUUGCUAGUAAACGCAGGUCAGCCAUACUGCGUUGAAUACGUUCCCGGGGCUU
Molecule: ribosomal RNA, 454 nt
Filed under: uncultured Anaerolineaceae bacterium
Lineage: Bacteria; Bacillati; Chloroflexota; Anaerolineae; Anaerolineales; Anaerolineaceae
Description: bacterial SSU rRNA
Rfam family: Bacterial small subunit ribosomal RNA
Source: RNAcentral